Long non-coding RNA from Mastomys coucha (southern multimammate mouse), 1433 nucleotides. RefSeq lists it as uncharacterized. The record is from RefSeq and is a predicted model, not a curated record. Lineage: Eukaryota; Metazoa; Chordata; Mammalia; Rodentia; Muridae. The transcript is spliced from 4 exons.
UCUUGUGUUCUCUCAGGAUUCCUUUCUAACACCUUCAUUUUGCCUAAAUAGUCAAAUAACUUAUCCAGAUAUACACAUUAACAGACAGGCUCUUCUAAGCAAUCAUAAUUACUUUUCAUUGUCUACUUUCCUUCUGGAAAAAGCACCUAGAAUUACAGAGACAAGUCCCAACACUGAAGCAUUUUUGACAGAGGGAAGAAAUUAGCUCUGAGAAGAUUGUCACACAGAGCACCACAUGGGGGCAGCAGAUAUUGCUAUAAAUUGAAAAUACUGGCAAAUCCUUUGUACACCCAUGUCCAUUGCUGAGUGUGCCAAGUUCCAUGGACCUUUAGUCAAAAGGAAAGAUGUUUUCUAUCCAAAAUGAGGAGCAAAGAAUCCCGUGAAAACUGCUGCUGUCUCCACCUUUGAAUGUAAUCCUGAAUCCAGUUGCCUGGAUGAAACAGUACAGAUUAAGGAUCAGUUCACCACAUUUUUGACUGAGUCAUGUUUGAAGCUACCUGCACCAUCUCUCACUCAGCCAGAGAUGUCAGAGCAUGGCAGAGUUCUCCUGUUAGAAUACAGCAACAAAACAGAAGUUUGUGUUGGUGAAUUCAAAGCGGUCACAAGACAGCUUGCUGUGUGCACGGUCAGCAGAGGUCCACCUGCUAAGAGAAGGCCUUACACAUCUUUGUGUUUCAUGCAGUUCAGAAGGAUAAGUCAAAUGGAAUGAAAGGAACUUUGAUGGGGAAGCCCAGUAAGCAUGAAAAAAAAUGAAAGGAACAAAUAACCAUAAAAACAGCAAAAUAGUUUAGAUGUCAGCUGUGGCAUUGCCUUCCUUAUCUCAGUAAGUACAUCCAAAGCUGCAAGAGUCACAAUCCAGACCUUUAUGUCUCAAACAUACUUUCAUAGGUUAUUAAUGUCUAACAUAUAUGUCCUUCUAAAAUUCCUCUCUCCAUAAAAAUCAAGUAAUUUUAUGACAAGAAACUUCUCCUAGGCACUAAACUACAUUAUUAGUCCAGAGAAUUAGCCCAUGUAAUUUACCAAGUGCUUGAACAAAAAGAACCAUGGGAAUAUCUUAUUUCUCAAAUGCUGAAAUGCUCACUAAAAUGACCCGAUACACCAACACCUCAUACAUCAAACAUUUUGGUGGAUUUGGCCACAAGUAAGAGUAAGAUUAAUUUUGAAUUGAUACAAUCAGAGUAGUGGAUUAAGGCAUAAGUAUGAGCAGUAAAAGCUAGCUCCUAAGCAAUCUGAUGUAAAUCCAAGAGAAAGAAUCAAUUGCCAAGGGCACAGUUGACAUAAUUGCAAAAAGAUCUGGAAGAAAAUAUUAAAUCUCUCAUUAACAUUUUACCAAAGUAGAUUCCAGAAACCUUAUAGUAUUACAAGUGUUUAAAAAUUAAAUCAUGAAGUUAAAGGCAUGUUUAUAAGUGUAUAUAAAGACAUAUUUCAUUGGC